This 1285-nucleotide ribosomal RNA is filed under the name Campylobacter jejuni. Its description in RNAcentral is "bacterial LSU rRNA". It matches the Rfam family "Bacterial large subunit ribosomal RNA", at positions 1 to 1310 of the family's 2925-position model. The record is from RNAcentral. Lineage: Bacteria; Pseudomonadati; Campylobacterota; Epsilonproteobacteria; Campylobacterales; Campylobacteraceae.
AGGUAAGCUACUAAGAGCGAAUGGUGGAUGCCUUGACUGGUAAAGGCGAUGAAGGACGUACUAGACUGCGAUAAGCUACGGGGAGCUGUCAAGAAGCUUUGAUCCGUAGAUUUCCGAAUGGGGCAACCCAAUGUAUAGAGAUAUACAUUACCUAUAUAGGAGCGAACGAGGGGAAUUGAAACAUCUUAGUACCCUCAGGAAAAGAAAUCAAUAGAGAUUGCGUCAGUAGCGGCGAGCGAAAGCGCAAGAGGGCAAACCCAGUGCUUGCACUGGGGGUUGUAGGACUGCAAUGUGCAAGAGGUAAGUUUAGCAGAACAUUCUGGAAAGUAUAACCAUAGAGGGUGAUAGUCCCGUAUGCGAAAAACAAACCUUAGCUAGCAGUAUCCUGAGUAGGGCGGGACACGAGGAAUCCUGUCUGAAUCCGGGUCGACCACGAUCCAACCCUAAAUACUAAUACCAGAUCGAUAGUGCACAAGUACCGUGAGGGAAAGGUGAAAAGAACUGAGGUGAUCAGAGUGAAAUAGAACCUGAAACCAUUUGCUUACAAUCAUUCAGAGCCCUAUGUAGCAAUACAGGGUGAUGGACUGCCUUUUGCAUAAUGAGCCUGCGAGUUGUGGUGUCUGGCAAGGUUAAGCAAACGCGAAGCCGUAGCGAAAGCGAGUCUGAAUAGGGCGCUUAGUCAGAUGCUGCAGACCCGAAACGAAGUGAUCUAUCCAUGAGCAAGUUGAAGCUAGUGUAAGAACUAGUGGAGGACUGAACCCAUAGGCGUUGAAAAGCCCCGGGAUGACUUGUGGAUAGGGGUGAAAGGCCAAUCAAACUUCGUGAUAGCUGGUUCUCUCCGAAAUAUAUUUAGGUAUAGCGUUGUGUCGUAAUAUAAGGGGGUAGAGCACUGAAUGGGCUAGGGCAUACACCAAUGUACCAAACCCUAUCAAACUCCGAAUACCUUAUAUGUAAUCACAGCAGUCAGGCGGCGAGUGAUAAAAUCCGUCGUCAAGAGGGAAACAACCCAGACUACCAGCUAAGGUCCCUAAAUCUUACUUAAGUGGAAAACGAUGUGAAGUUACUUAAACAACCAGGAGGUUGGCUUAGAAGCAGCCAUCCUUUAAAGAAAGCGUAAUAGCUCACUGGUCUAGUGAUUUUGCGCGGAAAAUAUAACGGGGCUAAAGUAAGUACCGAAGCUGUAGACUUAGUUUACUAAGUGGUAGGAGAGCGUUCUAUUUGCGUCGAAGGUAUACCGGUAAGGAGUGCUGGAGCGAAUAGAAGUGAGCAUGCAGGCAUGAGUAGC